This is a long non-coding RNA of Juglans microcarpa x Juglans regia, 599 nucleotides long. RefSeq lists it as uncharacterized. Lineage: Eukaryota; Viridiplantae; Streptophyta; Magnoliopsida; Fagales; Juglandaceae. The record is from RefSeq and is a predicted model, not a curated record. The transcript has 2 exons.
UAUUUAUUGUGGGUGUCUGCUAGAUCAAAGUUAAUUUAUUUUCUCCAUUUUGGAAGAAGUUGACCUAAGUAAAUAUAAAGGCAGUGUGUGCAAAAGCACACUAUGGAGGUGAGGAGGGCAUGCCAUGAUCUAGUAUGAGGUAUAUUUAUCAUCCUAGUUGGCUUAAUCGAUAGAUGGGUCAAGUUGUACAAGUGCUGCUUAUUUUGAGAUUGGAAUUGACUGAGCAAACAUAAAUGCUGUUGUUUUUAGAGUUAUAUUUGACGGUAGAGCUUCCUAUGCAUUACUUAGAUUCUCACUUUUUAUACUCCACAUAUGUUGCUGAUGCUUUACUGCAGAAAGACAAGACACAUCAUUAUCAGGCUGCCCAGCCUGAAGCGGUGCCUGUGCCAGUUUCGUCUUGGUACUCUUUUGCUGGUCUAUCAUUCCUACACCACUGACUGAAUUUGCAUCUUUAACAUACGUAUCCAUUUGUAUUUGGACUUCUGUUUAUUGGCACCUGAUGUGCAUAUGAGGCACUCUUCAGUUGCAUAAUGUAUGGAUGAGGGAACAGUUUUGGGUUCCAAAUUUGUACAGAACUGUGUAAGCGGCAUUUUGGUACC